CCUACGGGGGGCAGCAGUGGGGAAUAUUGCACAAUGGGGGAAACCCUGAUUCAUCUACUCCUCUUUAUUGAAGAAGUAAUUCUUUAUUUAAAGCUCUAUCAGCAGGGAAGAAAAUGACGGUACCUGAGUAAGAAGCCCCGGCUAACUACGUGCCAGCAGCCGCGGUAAUACGUAGGGGGCAAGCGUUAUCCGGAUUUACUGGGUGUAAGGGGAGCGUAGACGGCAGUGCAAGUCUGGAGUGAAAGGCGGGGGCUCAACCCCCGGACUGCUCUGGAAACUGUACGGCUGGAGUGCAGGAGAGGGAAGUGGAAUUCCUAGUGUAGCGGUGAAAUGCGUAGAUAUUAGGAGGAACACCAGUGGCGAAGGCGGAUUACUGGACUGUAACUGACGUUGAGGCUCGAAAGCGUGGGGAGCAAACAGGAUUAGAUACCCGAGUAGUC
Molecule: ribosomal RNA, 440 nt
Filed under: uncultured bacterium
Lineage: Bacteria
Description: partial 16S ribosomal RNA
Rfam family: Bacterial small subunit ribosomal RNA
Source: RNAcentral